GGCUGUCACUGGCUCGGCCAGCAUUUAUUGCUGCGUUUACCCAGAGGGCAGUUAAGAGUCAACCACGUUGCUAUAGGUCUGGAGUCCCAUGCAGACCAGACCAGAUCCCAGUGAUCAGUGCCAAAGCCCCAUUGCCUGUGGAGAGGGUGAUGUUUGAUUUCCCUGUCCAGCUGCAAUUCGUGUGGUGAAGGUGCUCCCACAAUGUGGUUGGGGUGCUUGAUGGUGAAGAUUUGCAGACUGAAAUCUCAAACUCAUGUGCAGAUCGUGAUUAAGUUAACC
This is a long non-coding RNA of Hemiscyllium ocellatum (epaulette shark), 279 nucleotides long. RefSeq lists it as uncharacterized. The record is from RefSeq and is a predicted model, not a curated record. NCBI's taxonomy places the organism in Eukaryota, Metazoa, Chordata, Chondrichthyes, Orectolobiformes, Hemiscylliidae. The transcript has 3 exons.